RNAcentral lists this ribosomal RNA (21 nucleotides) under Pseudocercospora cratevicola. RNAcentral's name for it is "partial 18S ribosomal RNA". Lineage: Eukaryota; Fungi; Ascomycota; Dothideomycetes; Mycosphaerellales; Mycosphaerellaceae. The record is from RNAcentral.
GAACCUACGAAGGGAUUAUUA